UUUGCCCCAAUGUAUGUGCACCAAGUGCCUGCUGAAUGACAGCGGAGGUCUUCAAAGCCCCUGGAGUCAGAGUUGCUGAUGAGCAGCCAUGUGGAUGCUGGGGACUGAACUCAAACACUUCGCAUGAGAAGCAAACGCUUUUUAACUGUUGAGACAUCUCUCCAGUCCCUAUCAUUGCGUUGCGGUUACAGGCAGGAUCUCUCUGGUAUGUAUGCAACCCUGGCUGACUUGGAAGUCACUAAGAAGAGGAGACCGCCAUCAACUUUGCAGUGAUCCUACUGCCUCCGCCAGCAGCACACGCUGGAGUGGAGGUGGAGCUUUCGCGCAUGCUGAGUAAGCUUUCUUGAGGGCAGAUAACCCAAGUGGAGCUGUAAUCCAAGGAGAGUCAGCAGUCUGUCUGAGAGUCACUGUCAAAUGCUGGUCAAGGGCGUCUGUCCCUCCAACCACCUGGCCUGGGCUAACAGGGCUGCACAGACUUAGAUGGGUGGAGCCAAUGGAAGAGGAGCAACUGGGAACCGCAUUCACGAACCUGCUGAGCGCCUUUAGAAUGGCUCGGGUGUGCCCAGGCAACACUGUGCCUCAGGAAAAGGGGAGCGUGAUGGAAGCGGAGAACUUAAUAAAUACCACAAUAUAGAGAUGAACUAGGUGUUGGGGAUUUAGCUCAGUGGUAGAGCGCCUGCCUAGCAAGCGCAAGGCCCUGGAUUCGGUUCUCAGCUCCGAAAAAAAAAAAAAGAAAAAAUGAACUAAAUGUCAGGCUAUAAAGCACCCAUGAUUGACAGCACGUGUGCCUAGCCAAAAAUUUAUCUCCACUUCCCAAAUGUGUACCACAAUGCCUGGAUUUUUCUUCUUUUUUUCUUUUUCUUUUUUUUUUUUUAGGGGGGAAGAGGGGUGCGGGGAUUAGAGAUAUGCACCACCACAACUGGAGUUCUAGUAUUUUUUUUUUUUUUUCGGAGCUGGGGACCAAACCCAGGGCCUUGUGCUUGCUAGGCAGGCGCUCUACCACUGAGCUAAACCCCCAACCCCUGGAGUUCUAGUAUUUUCUUUCUUUUUUUUUAAACAUUUCUCUUAGUUUUAACUGGAUGUGGUAGCACAUGCCUUUCAUACCAGCACUCUGGAGGCAGAGGCAGGUGGAUCUCUGUGAGUUUGAGGCCAGCCUGGUCUCAGGCUGGUUUCAGGAUAGUCAGGGCUACCUAGAGAGGCCCUGUCUCAAACAAACAAACAAACAAACAAACAAACAUUAAUUUUACUUUGGGGGCUAGAGAGGCUCCCAGGACCCACAACAAUACACUGCCUAUAGCUCCAGCUGCAGGGACUGUGGCCUCUAAUCUGAGAGCACCCACAUCCAUGUGCACACACCCACAAAAGAGAGAGGGGCUCAAACCCAUAAAUUAAAAAAAAACUUUAAAAAAAAAAGUAUGGGUAUUGCGACUUAUGUGUGUGUCCGCAGGUGCCCAUGGAGACCAGAAGAGGGCGCUGCAUCCCCUGGAGUUACAGGCCAUUAUGACAGCUGGCAUAGGUGCUGGGAGAGUAGCCAGUGCUCCUAACUGCUGAACCAUCUCUCCUGCCCCAAAUCUGGCUUUUUAAAUGCAUUUCUGAGAGCUGAAUUCAGACCCUCAUGCACAGCAGGCACUUUAUUGACUAAGCUAUAUACCAGGGCCGAAAACUUAUUCUUUAAUAGACCCAGGAGGACUGUGGUCAAAGGGGGAACUUUCCAGAACUCAAGACCUCAGCAAUGAAGGAGUUGUAGAGGCUGGUAAAGUCUGGGAAAGAGCCACUGCAUUCAAGCUUGCUAGGAGCUGACGUACAAUCAGGGCAAAGGCACAGGGUGAUCUCACUCAAAGGAACAGACAGCACUGACACUGGAUAAACAGGAGAUAGCAGCAGUUCAGUGAGGAACCAGACUCUCAAAUCACAUAUCCAGAGCAAACCAGCUUCCUUUUCUUGUCUCUGAAUACAAUUCCUACCUGAUGGUGUGCUUCUGAAAGUAAAACACGUGAAUGGGUUCAAAGUGCCUCGCCUAGGACUUCAAAUGCACCCCAGUGUUCAGCAGGCCCAGGUUCCAUGUGGUCUCACCUCUGCCUAUGCCGUCGACCUUAUUUGCUUUUGUUUGGGGGGCUUUGUUUUGUUUUGGAUAGGGUCUUACUUUGUAACCUUAGCUGGCUUUGAACUCACAUAGAUAAGCCUGCCUCUGCCUCCCAAAUGCUGGGGUUCAGGGUAUGCCCCACUGCGCUCAGGCCUGAUUUAUUUCUUUGAGUCAGGGUCAUAUGUAACCCAGGCUAGGCUGGAGUUCACUUUUUUUAAAAGAUUUAUUUAUAUUUAUUAUAUAUGAGUACACUGCCGCUGUCCUCAGACACACCAGAAGAGGGCAUCAGAUCUCAUUACAGAUGGUUGUGAGCCAUCAUGUGGUUGCUGGGAUUUGAACUCGGGACCUCUGGAAGAACAGUCAGUGCUCUUAACCACUAAGCCAUCUCUCCAUAGGCUGGAAUUCUUUUUUUUUUUUUUCCCGGAGCUGGGGACUGAACC
This is a non-coding RNA of Rattus norvegicus (Norway rat), 2523 nucleotides long. Lineage: Eukaryota; Metazoa; Chordata; Mammalia; Rodentia; Muridae. The record is from RefSeq and is a predicted model, not a curated record.